GACGAACGCUGGCGGCGUGCUUAACACAUGCAAGUCGAACGGAAAGGCCCUGCUUUUGUGGUGUGCUCGAGUGGCGAACGGGUGAGUAACACGUGAGUAACCUGCCCUUGACUUUGGGAUAACUUCAGGAAACUGGGGCUAAUACCGGAUAGGAGCUCCUGCUGCAUUGUGGGGGUUGGAAAGUUUCGGCGGUUGGGGAUGGACUCGCGGCUUAUCAGCUUGUUGGUGGGGUAGUGGCUUACCAAGGCUUUGACGGGUAGCCGGCCUGAGAGGGUGACCGGCAAAAUUGGGACUGAGAUACGGCCCAGACUCCUACGGGAGGCAGAAGUGGGGAAUAUUGAACAAUGGGCGGAAGCCUGAUGCAGCAACGCCGCGUGCGGGAUGACGGCCUUCGGGUUGUAACCCGCUUUCGCCUGUGACGAAGCGUGAGUGACGGUAAUGGGUAAAGAAGCACCGGCUAACUACGUG
This 468-nucleotide ribosomal RNA is filed under the name uncultured bacterium. RNAcentral's name for it is "partial 16S ribosomal RNA". It matches the Rfam family "Bacterial small subunit ribosomal RNA", at positions 28 to 507 of the family's 1533-position model. The record is from RNAcentral.